RNAcentral lists this ribosomal RNA (583 nucleotides) under uncultured bacterium. RNAcentral's name for it is "bacterial SSU rRNA". It matches the Rfam family "Bacterial small subunit ribosomal RNA", at positions 338 to 916 of the family's 1533-position model. The record is from RNAcentral.
CCUACGGGAGGCAGCAGUGGGGAAUUUUGGACAAUGGGCGCAAGCCUGAUCCAGCCAUGCCGCGUGUGGGAAGAAGGCCUUCGGGUUGUAAACCACUUUUGUCAGGGAAGAAACGGUCUGAACUAAUACUUUGGACUAAUGACGGUACCUGAAGAAUAAGCACCGGCUAACUACGUGCCAGCAGCCGCGGUAAUACGUAGGGUGCAAGCGUUAAUCGGAAUUACUGGGCGUAAAGCGUGCGCAGGCGGCUUUGCAAGACAGAUGUGAAAUCCCCGGGCUCAACCUGGGAACUGCAUUUGUGACUGCAUGGCUAGAGUACGGUAGAGGGGGAUGGAAUUCCGCGUGUAGCAGUGAAAUGCGUAGAUAUGCGGAGGAACACCGAUGGCGAAGGCAAUCCCCUGGACCUGUACUGACGCUCAUGCACGAAAGCGUGGGGAGCAAACAGGAUUAGAUACCCUGGUAGUCCACGCCCUAAACGAUGUCAACUGGUUGUUGGGAGGGUUUCUUCUCAGUAACGAAGCUAACGCGUGAAGUUGACCGCCUGGGGAGUACGGCCGCAGGUUGAACUCAAAUGAAUUGACGG